GAGCCCGGAGAUGGGCACUGAGACUAGGGCCCAGGCCCUAUGGGGCGCAGCAGGCGCGAAACCUCUGCAAUAGGCGAAAGCUUGACAGGGUUACUCUGAGUGAUUUCCGUUAAGGAGAUCUUUUGGCACCUCUAAAAAUGGUGCAGAAUAAGGGGUGGGCAAGUCUGGUGUCAGCCGCCGCGGUAAUACCAGCACCCCGAGUGGUCGGGACGUUUAUUGGGCCUAAAGCAUCCGUAGCCGGUUCUACAAGUCUUCCGUUAAAUCCACCUGCUUAACAGAUGGGCUGCGGAAGAUACUGUAGAGCUAGGAGGCGGGAGAGGCAAGCGGUACUCGAUGGGUAGGGGUAAAAUCCGUUGAUCCAUUGAAGACCACCAGUGGCGAAGGCGGCUUGCCAGAACGCGCUCGACGGUGAGGGAUGAAAGCUGGGGGAGCAAACCGGAUUAGAUACCCGGGUAGUCCCAGCUGUAAACGAUGCAGACUCGGUGAUGAGUUGGCUUAUUGCUAACUCAGUGCCGCAGGGAAGCCGUUAAGUUUGCCGCCUGGGGAGUACGGUCGCUAGACUGAAACUUAAAGGAAU
RNAcentral lists this ribosomal RNA (577 nucleotides) under uncultured crenarchaeote. Its description in RNAcentral is "bacterial SSU rRNA". It matches the Rfam family "Archaeal small subunit ribosomal RNA", at positions 286 to 865 of the family's 1478-position model. Lineage: Archaea; Thermoproteati; Thermoproteota. The record is from RNAcentral.